This 244-nucleotide unclassified non-coding RNA is filed under the name plant metagenome. Its description in RNAcentral is "partial contains 5.8S ribosomal RNA, internal transcribed spacer 2, and large subunit ribosomal RNA". The stretch from base 1 to 102 matches the Rfam family "5.8S ribosomal RNA", at positions 49 to 154 of the family's 154-position model. The record is from RNAcentral.
CCAGAUGCGAUAAGUAAUACGAAUUGCAGGUCUCUGUGAAUCAUCAAAUUUUCGAACGCACUGCGCCCGGGAGCAAUCUCGGGCACAUUCGGUUGAGUGACAAUUUUAAUUCUUGAUACCCAGUAUCACUGUCGGCGGUUUUUUGAUCGAAAUCCGCUUAGAAUCCUUUUCGGAGCCGCUUUCGGCGAGCUUACUUACCCAACCGAAGAGAGAAAUUUUUUCGGCGGUUCGUCGGCAGCGUCAG